Molecule: ribosomal RNA, 1145 nt
Filed under: Bacillus safensis
Lineage: Bacteria; Bacillati; Bacillota; Bacilli; Caryophanales; Bacillaceae
Description: bacterial SSU rRNA
Rfam family: Bacterial small subunit ribosomal RNA
Source: RNAcentral
AAUCCUCGGGAGGAGCUUUGGGAAUAUUCGCAAUGGAGAAAGUCUGACGAGCACCCCGCGUGAAUGAUGAAGUUUUUGGAUCGUAAAGUUCUGUUGUUAGGGAAGAACAAGUGCGAGAGUAACUGCUCGCACCUUGACGGUACCUAACCAGAAAGCCACGGCUAACUACGUGCCAGCAGCCGCGGUAAUACGUAGGUGGCAAGCGUUGUCCGGAAUUAUUGGGCGUAAAGGGCUCGCAGGCGGUUUCUUAAGUCUGAUGUGAAAGCCCCCGGCUCAACCGGGGAGGGUCAUUGGAAACUGGGAAACUUGAGUGCAGAAGAGGAGAGUGGAAUUCCACGUGUAGCGGUGAAAUGCGUAGAGAUGUGGAGGAACACCAGUGGCGAAGGCGACUCUCUGGUCUGUAACUGACGCUGAGGAGCGAAAGCGUGGGGAGCGAACAGGAUUAGAUACCCUGGUAGUCCACGCCGUAAACGAUGAGUGCUAAGUGUUAGGGGGUUUCCGCCCCUUAGUGCUGCAGCUAACGCAUUAAGCACUCCGCCUGGGGAGUACGGUCGCAAGACUGAAACUCAAAGGAAUUGACGGGGGCCCGCACAAGCGGUGGAGCAUGUGGUUUAAUUCGAAGCAACGCGAAGAACCUUACCAGGUCUUGACAUCCUCUGACAACCCUAGAGAUAGGGCUUUCCCUUCGGGGACAGAGUGACAGGUGGUGCAUGGUUGUCGUCAGCUCGUGUCGUGAGAUGUUGGGUUAAGUCCCGCAACGAGCGCAACCCUUGAUCUUAGUUGCCAGCAUUCAGUUGGGCACUUUAAGGUGACUGCCGGUGACAAACCGGAGGAAGGUGGGGAUGACGUCAAAUCAUCAUGCCCCUUAUGACCUGGGCUACACACGUGCUACAAUGGACAGAACAAAGGGCUGCAAGACCGCAAGGUUUAGCCAAUCCCAUAAAUCUGUUCUCAGUUCGGAUCGCAGUUUGCAACUCGACUGCGUGAAGCUGGAAUCGCUAGUAAUCGCGGAUCAGCAUGCCGCGGUGAAUACGUUCCCGGGCCUUGUACACACCGCCCGUCACACCACGAGAGUUUGCAACACCCGAAGUCGGUGAGGUAACCUUUAUGGAGCCAGCCGCCGCAUAGGUGGAGCACGUGAUCGA